GACGAACGCUGGCGGCGUGCUUAACACAUGCAAGUCGAACGGUAAGGCCCUUCGGGGUACACGAGUGGCGAACGGGUGAGUAACGCGUGAGUAACCUGCCCUUCACUCUGGGAUAACAGUUGGAAACGGCUGCUAAUACCGGAUAUUCAGCUCCUGACGCAUGGUGGGGGUUGGAAAGUUUUGGUGGUGGAGGAUGGGCUCGCGUCCUAUCAGCUUGUUGGUGGGGUGAUGGCCUACCAAGGCGUCGACGGGUAGCCGGCCUGAGAGGGCGACCGGCCACAUUGGGACUGAGAUACGGCCCAAACUCCUACGGGAGGCAGCAGUGGGGAAUAUUGCACAAUGGGCGGAAGCCUGAUGCAGCAACGCCGCGUGCGGGAUGACGGCCUUCGGGUUGUAAACCGCUUUCAGCAGGGACGAAGCGCAAGUGACGGUACCUGCAGAAGAAGCACCGGCUAACUACGUG
This 463-nucleotide ribosomal RNA is filed under the name uncultured bacterium. RNAcentral's name for it is "partial 16S ribosomal RNA". It matches the Rfam family "Bacterial small subunit ribosomal RNA", at positions 28 to 507 of the family's 1533-position model. The record is from RNAcentral.